Molecule: transfer RNA, 61 nt
Filed under: Eleutherodactylus pantoni (western yellow-bellied robber frog)
Lineage: Eukaryota; Metazoa; Chordata; Amphibia; Anura; Eleutherodactylidae
Description: tRNA-Cys
Source: RNAcentral
GGCCCCGAGGUGUUACACGUGAGGUUGCAACCCUCAAGAAGCAAAUAGUUUUGCCGGGGCU